CCUACGGGAGGCAGCAGUGGGGAAUAUUGCGCAAUGGGCGAAAGCCUGACGCAGCGACGCCGCGUGAGGGAUGAAGGUCUUCGGAUCGUAAACCUCUGUCAGCAGGGAAGAACGGUCACUGUGCUAAUCAGCAGUGACUUGACGGUACCUGCAAAGGAAGCACCGGCUAACUCCGUGCCAGCUGCCGCGGUAAUACGGAGGGUGCGAGCGUUAAUCGGAUUUACUGGGCGUAAAGCGCUCGUAGGCGGUAUGUCAAGUCAAGGGUGAAAUCCCCGCGCUCAACGUGGGAACUGCCUUUGAAACUGGCAAACUGGAGUGUGUGAGAGGAUAGUGGAAUUCCAGGUGUAGGAGUGAAAUCCGUAGAUAUCUGGAGGAACAUCAGUGGCGAAGGCGACUAUCUGGCACAUAACUGACGCUGAGGAGCGAAAGCGUGGGUAGCAAACAGGAUUAGAUACCCUGGUAGUC
RNAcentral lists this ribosomal RNA (465 nucleotides) under uncultured bacterium. RNAcentral's name for it is "partial 16S ribosomal RNA". It matches the Rfam family "Bacterial small subunit ribosomal RNA", at positions 338 to 795 of the family's 1533-position model. The record is from RNAcentral.